GCCGCGAGUCCCCUUCGCCCCGCUUGCGGGGAGAAGGUGCCGGCAGGCGGAUGAGGGGCGAUCCGGAGGCGCUCUAUCAGAGCGUGCCGAUCAGUUCGCGGUAAGCGGCCUCUGGGAAGGCCUUCAGCGUACGCGUACGCACAUUGCCGUUCAUGCCGAGCGUGAUAGCGAACCGCGCGGCGACUGCGUCGUCAGGCGCUUCGCAGAUCGCAACCAUGUCGUGUUCGCCCAUCGUCAGGUAGAAGUCCUUGAAGGAACCGCCCAUCUCCUCGAGCUGCCUCCUUGCCGCAUCGAGCCGCUUCGGGGACUCGCGCACAUUUCUGAUACCGAGCUCAGUCCAAUUGAGAAGCAGAACGUAAGUCGUCAUCUCACACCUCCCGCAAAGCAUCCCGCCUUCGGCCGAAGGCGCUCAAGAUGCCCUGUAUCUGAAAAAGGCCGGCGCGCAUUCACGCAUUCAUGUGCGGCCUCGGGACGCAAAGUAUAAAGCAAUUCGAGGAAAAUGACGUACGGUUUUGCGCCGGGAGUAG
RNAcentral lists this small RNA (527 nucleotides) under Sinorhizobium meliloti 2011. RNAcentral describes it as "putative ncRNA". Lineage: Bacteria; Pseudomonadati; Pseudomonadota; Alphaproteobacteria; Hyphomicrobiales; Rhizobiaceae. The record is from RNAcentral.